RNAcentral lists this ribosomal RNA (468 nucleotides) under uncultured bacterium. Its description in RNAcentral is "partial 16S ribosomal RNA". It matches the Rfam family "Bacterial small subunit ribosomal RNA", at positions 28 to 507 of the family's 1533-position model. The record is from RNAcentral.
GACGAACGCUGGCGGCGUGCUUAACACAUGCAAGUCGAACGGAGAGGCCCUGCUCUUGUGGGGUGCUCGAGUGGCGAAAGGGUGAGUAACACGUGAGUAACCUGCCCUUGACUUUGGGAUAACUUCAGGAAACUGGGGCUAAUACCGGAUAUGAGCUCCUGCUGCAUGGUGGUGGUUGGAAAGUUUCGGCGGUUGGGGAUGGACUGGCGGCUUAUCAGCUUGUUGGUGGGGUAGUGGCUUACCAAGGCUUUGACGGGUAGCCGGCCUGGGAGGGUGACCGGCCACAUUGGGACUGAGAUACGGCCCAGACUCCUACGGGAGGAAGCAGUGGGGAAUAUUGCACAAUGGGCGGAGGCCUGAUGCAGCAACGCCGCGUGCGGAAUGACGGCUUUCGGGUUGUAAACCGCUUUCGCGUGUGACGAAGAGUGAGUGACGGUAAUGGGUAAAGAAGCACCGGCUAACUACGUG